UCUUCAAAAGGCAGCAGGCAUGA
This 23-nucleotide non-coding RNA is filed under the name Cricetulus griseus (Chinese hamster). Lineage: Eukaryota; Metazoa; Chordata; Mammalia; Rodentia; Cricetidae. The record is from RNAcentral.